This 107-nucleotide small nuclear RNA is filed under the name Myotis brandtii (Brandt's bat). Lineage: Eukaryota; Metazoa; Chordata; Mammalia; Chiroptera; Vespertilionidae. The record is from RNAcentral.
GUGCUCGCUUCGGCAGCACACAUACUAAAAGCGGGACAAUACAGAGAAGAUUAGCAUGGCCCCUGUGCAGGGAUGACACCCAAAUUCAUGAAGCAUUCCAUAUUUUA